Long non-coding RNA from Oxyura jamaicensis (ruddy duck), 764 nucleotides. RefSeq lists it as uncharacterized. NCBI's taxonomy places the organism in Eukaryota, Metazoa, Chordata, Aves, Anseriformes, Anatidae. The transcript is spliced from 5 exons. The record is from RefSeq and is a predicted model, not a curated record.
UAACUCUGCCUGUGUAACCUUAGCCAAUUCACCUAUUUUUCAGCUACAUCUACAGAGAUAUACGGGGACAAAGACACCUCAUUAGUAGAACACUUCAAAUUUGCUGAUGCAGUGCUGUGCAGGAGCUUUAAGGGGGAAGCUGACAGACAGAGAGGAUUUGGAAAACAGCACCAAAAUCAUGGCAGGACACACGGCUCCCGAUUUAAGGUUUCAGAGAAGUGCCAGGUACUUUCAGUGCUUCUGAAUGCUUUCUGUAGUGAAGAUGUAUUUCAAAGGAGGCAACUAUUCCGAAACGGUCGUGUGUCAUUACAGUUUCUAUAUACUGCAAACUUAACCUAUGUAACCACCACUUCUGGAACGUGGAGUCCUGCAUUGGCACCUUUACUGCACAGCAGAUGAGGGUGUUGAUAAUCUGUUGUCAUUAACAGCUGCCUGCCCGCUCCUGGAACGCUGCAGGUAACUGGGAUACAUAGCGUGAUUUAAAGUGUCAUGACAGCAAGACGGUCCUUUGGAUGUCAGCUGAUACAAACAGCUACGUGAGGCUUCACGAAACAAUCAGGAUUGAAACUCCCCCGCCCACAUGUGCCUCUAUUUUCUACAUUGACGUGUUUUCCUGCGUUGGGGCGAGGCUACUGCUUCUUCAUUAGUAUUGUGCCUGGCAAAAAAAAAAUUACACGUGUAAUUGUUUUUUCAAGUUAUAAGUGGAGGCCAAUAAAUACACCCAGCCCAGAGCAAUGCAAAGCACGUGGCCUGGGCUAGAUGAA